GAUAACUAAUGCUAGCUGUCUCCAGGCUGGCAAAGGUUAUUUGAAUGGACUUAAUCUUCCAGUAGUUGGGAGAUGUUUUAAAAACACAUCCUGUGUUUCAAUUGUGGCUGAGAGGUUUCCUUGGCAAUGUGAGGAAGAAAAUUCUUUCUGCCUCAUUAUUAUUAAUUCAUGGAUUGAGUGUUGGUUCGACCUACAGGCGUAAUAGAUUGGAACUCAGUGAAGACACAGACGUUCCUGUUGAGAGCAACCAGCUAAUGUAAGUGGGGGAAAUGGGUCUUUUCUCAUUAAAGGAGUAAAAACUUUUGUAAUUUAAGGCAAAAUUUUCCUGGACUAGUAAGAAAUUAAAAGGCUAAUGUCCAGUCAUUUUUUUUCUUGUAAUUAUUCACAAACUUUUAGUUUUUGAAUAGAAACGUGUUUGUUCUUUCUUUUGUUUUGUUUUUGAUAGUGCACAUUGUGAAAAGGUAAAAACAAUACAGCUAAGGUGAAAUCCUCCCCUAAUUCCGUUUCCUUGAAGGAAAACAUUUAAUAGUUUAUCACAACAUGGUUCCUUGCCCAUACACAUUACUCUGCCUCAUCUUUUUAAUGACUAUGUAGUGUUCCAUUGUCCAUUGUAACUCAGUGUAUCCCUCAUUGGUAAACAUUUGGGGUUUUACAAACAAAAAUAUCCCUGUGUCUAAUAGUAGCCUUAUGCACCCAUCUGCAUGAACUUGUUUCCCUAGAACAAGUUCUUAGAUGCAAAUUUAUGGAAUUAUUAUAUUUUAUAUAAUAAUUAUAAUAAUUUGUAUAUAAUUUUUAUAAGAGGUUGUAGAAGUUUACUGAACAAUUAAGGAGGUCUUAAUUUGCAAAAGUUGUAGAUGUGUAUCUUUUAUAAAGAUAGUAAUCUUUGGUCAUAUUGCUGAUAGAUCUUUUGCUAUAUAAAUGUUUUCCAGUUUUAUCGAUAUUAUUGUUAUAGUUUUUAUCAUUGGUACCUUAGGAAAGGGUUUUUGUUUUUUUUCCACUCUGAGCUUAAAAAAAUUUUUUUUUCUGAGUGUCUAGGUGAAUAUGUAUUUUAUUUUAAAAAUGCUGAGGAUUGUAGUUAUAUGACAUUGCCACUGUUACAAAGUUCUUUUUUUUUUCCAAAUAGCUGGCCAUGUUUCUUGUUAAUCUCAAAUGCCGCUUAUUUUUAUAAAUCACAUUAUAAUUUAGGGGUGCUCUUGAAUUCUAUUGAACUGUAUUUCAUUUGCCAACAUUACAUGUAAAUAUUGUUGUAUUUUCCAUUUGUAAUAUCAGGCAGAGGGAGGCGCUUCCAUUUCUUUUUAAAGUAUCUUUUUUUCCCCUCACUUAUACUUCUAGGUGAUUUUAUAAUCUGUCAAUUCCAAUAAUAAAGUCUCAUUGGGAUUUGGCAUGAAUUACAUUCAAUGUAUGCAUUUUGAAGUUACUUCUUAAAUUUAUCCGUUAUCCAGAUCAUCUGUGCCUUAGUCAUUUCAUAGUUUCUGGGGUUUGUUUUUGAUUCCAUGUGACUUUUGCAUACUCUUCAUUUUUUUUCUACAUAUUUUAUGGUUUUAUUGUGAAUGACGACGCUCGUGUCUGAAUGAUUGUUGCUGACAUUAAUCAGAUUUACUGCUUUUUGUAUAUUUAUAUUAUUAUUUUUAUUGUUUUUAAAUUAUUAAAUUUACUAGUUUGCAAACAUAUAAUUUGCAGAUUUUUUUAUUAUGAUGAUUUUUGGUCUCAUCCUUCCUUGUAUUUUUUCUUUACUGUACAUACUAGAACCUCUGGAACAGGUUUUUUGGUUUUGCUUUGUUUUGUUUGUGGGGGGUAGGUUGGGGGGGUAAUGGGGACUGACUGACCCCAGGGUUGCUACAUCCCUAGCCCUUUUAUUUUUAUUUUGAGACAGGGUCUCGCUAAGUUGCCCAGGCUGGCUUCAAACUUGUGAUCCUUCUGCCUC
Molecule: long non-coding RNA, 1924 nt
Filed under: Marmota monax (woodchuck)
Lineage: Eukaryota; Metazoa; Chordata; Mammalia; Rodentia; Sciuridae
Source: RNAcentral